UAACCUGUAGACUGGACAGAGGUAUCACUCGAGUCGCAACUAAAUUGAAUAUAACGUCGCGGAUAAGGUUUGUAAUGACACAAUUUCAUGUGUACAACAUCUAAAGACCUGCAUCCUUAUACUGAGUGUUUCCGUUUCUAAAAUGACGUAUUUGGGUGUUUUUGGAGCAUUUGUUCAUGUCUUUUCAGAGCCUCUGUUUAUAAGGAAAUGAAUCGCUGGUUAGGGUAAGUUCUUGAAAAACAAGUGAAAGCAACAACAACAAAAAGUGUCUGGACCCCUCAUUCACUCAAUUGUUUCCACAGCACUUGAGUGGAGACAGAUGAUGAACCUCUGUUGUAAGAGAUUACUUAAGUGCUGCUAUGCAUACGUGAAUAACUAUGACGUUCAGGAUGUUUCAUAGAUAUGUUCUCUCAUCCCUCACACAGGCCUCCUCUGUGUGACCAUUGGCAGAUGGGAGUAAGAGAAUGAUGACCGUGUCCCCUCCUGAUGGAUCGAGCCUGUCCCUGUGGAGACUGUGGGGGCAAUGAGGCGCGGGGACAAGGAACAGCUAAAUGAUUGAGCCAUCACUACGUGCAGUUGUCCCGUCUGGCUGGUCCAGCCAUAUGUUAGAGCUGGGUGGGCCAAGUCAGACUUUAGCUGAUAAAUGGGUGUGUGUUUUAAGCCAGGCAAGGUGAAGAGGGGUGAAGAAAACAAACCUGGCCGUGUCCUCCGAACGUUCCUCAGAAUAACAACAGGAACACUCUUGUCUGCAUUUUCCGGCCGUGAGUGGGGCCUUCAUGGAUUCCCCGUACAAUGGCAACACGUCCCUCCAGACCUCCACCUCCAACCUCAACGCCAACUUCUCCCGGCCGACAGAGGCGGAAGAGGAGGGCAAGUACUCCAGCGACGCCAUCUGGCUUUGGGUGGCCGUCAUUGCAACCAUCGGCAACAUAGUAGUGGUAGCAGUGGUUUGCGCCUGUGCCUUCUAAGACUCGUUAGUUACAAGCACACAGCCGAACCUCCCUCUUGCCACUUUUUCCCCCUCCACUUUGACCUAUCCCCUGUAUUCGUUUUCAUCUGGUAUGUGUCCAUCCGUAAUAUUAAAGCCAAGGCCAAGUUCUGA
Molecule: long non-coding RNA, 1102 nt
Filed under: Oncorhynchus kisutch (coho salmon)
Lineage: Eukaryota; Metazoa; Chordata; Actinopteri; Salmoniformes; Salmonidae
Description: lncRNA (ENSOKIG00005047352.1)
Source: RNAcentral